Molecule: unclassified non-coding RNA, 285 nt
Organism: Chlorocebus sabaeus (green monkey)
Lineage: Eukaryota; Metazoa; Chordata; Mammalia; Primates; Cercopithecidae
Rfam family: Metazoan signal recognition particle RNA
About the family: The signal recognition particle (SRP) is a universally conserved ribonucleoprotein. It is involved in the co-translational targeting of proteins to membranes. The eukaryotic SRP consists of a 300-nucleotide 7S RNA and six proteins: SRPs 72, 68, 54, 19, 14, and 9.
Source: Ensembl
GCCAGGCAUGGUGGCACAUGCCUGUAGUCCCAGCUACUAGGGAGGCUGAGGUGGGAGGAUCACUUGAACUCAGGAGGUUGAGACUAGAGUGAGCUAUGAUCAUGCCUCUGCACUCCAGCCCUGGGAGACAGAGCAAGACCCUGUCUCAAAAUAAUAAAUAAAUAAACAGGCUGGGCACAGUGACUCAUUCCUGUAAUCCCAGGACUUUGGGAGGCCAAGGCAGGUAGAUCACUUGAGGUCAGAAGUUUGCGAGCAGCCUGACCAACAUGGUGAAACCCCAUCUUU